RNAcentral lists this ribosomal RNA (508 nucleotides) under uncultured bacterium. RNAcentral describes it as "bacterial SSU rRNA". It matches the Rfam family "Bacterial small subunit ribosomal RNA", at positions 8 to 526 of the family's 1533-position model. The record is from RNAcentral.
AGAGUUUGAUCAUGGCUCAGGAUGAACGCUGGCGGCGUGCCUAAUACAUGCAAGUCGAACGAGGUGCUUUUGUAGCAAUACGAGAGUAUCCUAGUGGCGAACGGGUGAGUAACGCGUUGGUGACCUACCCCAAAGUGUGGGAUAACAGUCCGAAAGGAUUGCUAAUACCGCAUGUGGUCUUCGGAUUUAGAAACUGAUGACUAAAGGAGCAAUUCGCUUUGGGAGGGACCUGCGUCCCAUCAGCUAGUUGGUGAGGUAAUGGCUCACCAAGGCGACGACGGGUAGGGGACCUGAGAGGGUGGCCCCCCACAAUGGAACUGAAACACGGUCCGUACACCUACGGGUGGCAGCAGUAGGGAAUAUUGCACAAUGGGCGAAAGCCUGAUGCAGCAACGCCGCGUGUGCGAUGAAGGCCUUCGGGUCGUAAAGCACUUUUCUGAGAGAUGAGAAAGGACAGUAUCUCAGGAAUAAGUCUCGGCUAACUACGUGCCAGCAGCCGCGGUAAUAC